UUUUUUUUUUUUUUUAAACGAGGUUUCGCUCUUGUUGUUCAGGCUGGAGUGCAAUGGUGCGAACUCGGCUCACCGCAACCUCUGCUUCCCGGGUUCAAGCGAUUAUCCUGCCUCAGCCUCCGAAGUAGCUGGGAUUACAGGCACACACCACAUUGCCCGGCUAAUUUUGUAUUUUUAGUAGAUGGGGUUUCUCCAUGUUGGUCAGGCUGGUCUCACACUCCCGACCUCAGGUGAUCUGCUCGCCUUGGCCUCCCAAAGUGCCGAGAUUACAGGCUUCAGCCACCGGCGCCUGGCUGGUUAUAGCUUUUUAAAACAAUUUGCUUAUUGUUUCUUAGUUUGUAGAAAGUUUCUCUUGGAGAUUUGUGAAGGAAAUACAUGUGAUCGCUUUUGUGAUGUGUUCAGAUGGAAAGAAAAUCUAACUUUCAUAAGAAAAAUUGUAUCACACUAGAUGCAGGAAAAAAAUAGAUAUUCGAAGAACCACAUACCAGAUGCAGAUGAAAUGUAAUGUAUAAAGACUAUUUUUAUAAUGAUUUUUUAAAUUUAGAUUUUUACAAUAUGGAUUUUAAAAUUUUAUUUCACUUUUAAUUGACUAAUUUUAUACAUUUAUAAGGUACAAUAUGUUGUUUCAAUACAUGUAUACAUUGCAAAAUGAUCAAAUCAGGCUAAUUAACAUAUCUAUCACCUUACAUUCUUAUUAUUUCUUUGUAGUGAGAAUAUCUAAAAUUGAAAUACAGUCCUUUUUAUUGUAACUGAGAGAAACAAGAGCAAUGUAUAUGUGGUAGAAUUUAAAAGUCAUAUGUGUAUAUUUAUAUAUGUACAUCUACGUACAAUUGCCUGUGUACAUAUAAUUAUCUGCUAUAUAUUAUGCAUAUGUAAUACAUAUGCACCUGUGUAAGUUGGAAUUCUUAUCUAUUCUAUAGAAAGAAAAGUUCUACAUUGAAAUAUAGCCAACAUCCAGUUAACUCUGAAAAAAAAUCACAUCAUUGCUUGGCUUUUUCUGUUGUUACUUCCUGUUGGCCUAGUGGCAAUGAUUCAUUAUAAUGCAAUGUAAUUCAAUAUCACAUGGUGAAUUUAAAUGGCUGUAUAGGAAAUCUGUAACACUGUUCUUGCUUAAAAAUGUAAAACUUCAAUAGAAGGCGGUUCAUCAGAGAAUUUGGUAACACCAAAUAGUAAACGCUUUGAUUUCAGUAAUACUAAGACCCUGAUAGAAUUAAAAUGUGACUGAAUUUUACUUCUUAGUAAUUAUUUUAUAGCUAAUAUGUAAAAAAAAAAAAA
RNAcentral lists this long non-coding RNA (1275 nucleotides) under Homo sapiens (human). RNAcentral's name for it is "novel transcript". The record is from RNAcentral. Lineage: Eukaryota; Metazoa; Chordata; Mammalia; Primates; Hominidae.